GCUGGGAAUGCUGUGAACUUGUUGAAAAUAAUGGUAUUCGGUUUGAUUUGUCACAAUUGAUGAAAUUGAUCAAUGUUUUCUUUGGUUUUUGAUGCAAAACAACGUAAAUACACAGGCCCUCGGAGCCCAACCCAAUCCCAAGUGCCAAGUGUGCUAGAAUUGAAAAGGGUUCGUUUCCUUUGAGUUUCGGGUGGGAGAGACUGGGUCUGGGACAGAGCUGAGAAAGACAAAACAACAGGAGUUGCAGAGAGAAGAAGGAAGAAGGAAGAUGAGUGAAACAAGGCCAGUCCCUAGGAGAGAGAGUCCAUGGGGAUUGCCAGAAGGAGAGCAUCGACAACCCAAGGCUCAUCGUUGCAACGAUCGAGCUGAAGAUGUUAUCCAAGCUUGUUUUGAGGGAAACCCAUUUAAGACAGUUCCAGGACCUUUCAAGCUCUUUUGGCAAUGCAUGCGCUCUAAACCUGGGGAGGAGCCAACAGAACCGUACACCUAUUUGCAGCUGGAUCCACCGAAGAGAGGUGAAGCCUGAGUGAAGUGUCAUUUAAUGCAUUUUCUCUUGGAUUUGGAUCCCUGUCUCCAUAACAAAUGAAUAAUUCUGAAUGCUACUGAUAUAAGGGUUCUUUAUUCUUUAUUGAAUGGUAUUCAUUUUACUACUGAAAAGCUGUACUACUGUUUGCUUAUCAUGAUUUUCUGCUUGGACUUAUGGUGGGGAGACACCUGCUAUUUCCUAGGCCCAAAGUGAGUUGGUUAUGCAUGUAUUAUUGAAUCAAUCAUCACGGGAGGCUCCCUAUUUGAUGUUUGGAGAUAUUGGCAAUAUUAACUCCUGCUUUCUGAUGAUCCAUUACUUAUACCUGUUCGUAGACCAUAUUCAAUUAAAGACUAUUGAAAUAUACUUUUUCUUUUUUCUA
RNA transcript from Theobroma umbraticum, 905 nucleotides. It is a transcript of the gene named hexokinase-1 protein, with no coding region annotated. Lineage: Eukaryota; Viridiplantae; Streptophyta; Magnoliopsida; Malvales; Malvaceae. The record is from RefSeq and is a predicted model, not a curated record.